GUGAUGGGCUCUCUCUCCCUCUCGCUCGCUGCCCCCGAGGGAAGGUCCCGGCAUUCAAAUGGUCUCUCCCCCUCUCCCUCGAUGCUGUCAGGGGAUGGUACCAGAAAUCUGAGUCUGCAGUUUGUGGAUUGGACUGUAGUUCCUGUUCGCUCCUUUUUCUGUUGAUAGUUUAUUGUUUUGGGCAACUUUGGAUCGGGGCGGCCUGCAGAAAACAAAUGGACAUCGCCGUUGACGGUCGGGCUGGGACUCUGCAGAAAAUUGAAAGUGGAUCCUGAAAAGAUUUGGAGACUGGAACUACGCAGAGGUCUGAAAAGAGGAGAAGAGAAGCUGAGGCUUGCUGCUGAAGAAAAGCGCAGUCAUCGGAAAAACGGCACCAAGACAACACUGGAGGACAGCGCCUUCAGGUGCAGUUGCUGCAGCGAGACUGUCACUCCCGUGUGGGACUCUACAGCCACAACAGCCGCUGCUCUAACACAGACUGAAGCAAGACCUUCCAGGCGCAGAUCUAUGGUCUCGCGAGACAUAACGGAUGCCACCACCAGACUUAAUUCUUGCAUUCCUAAGUCAAUGUGCGUUAUGUGCACUACUGUGCUUUGCACCCUGGUCAGGAGAAACACUUUUGGUGGUAUACAUGUAGUGUAUAUAGUUACAUGACAAUAAACUUGACUAGAGUUAGUAUGGAGGCACCAAUGCCCGUGAAUAGGAAAGCCUAUCAAAUGUAGUGGACACAGCCCAGUCCAUCACAGGUUUCCAGCCUCUGCAGAUUUCCUCUUGUUUGUGACAGGAAAAGCUCUUCCCAUCACUGAGCACAUCUACAAAGAACAUUACCACAAGAAAACAGCAUCCAUCAUCCAGGCCAUGCUCUCUUCUCGCUGCUGCCAUUGGGAAGGAGAUACAGGAACAGUUAUACCCUCCAACCUUCCGGCUCCUGAACCAGCGUGGAUAACUUCACUCACCACAACACUCAACUGAUUCCACAAGCGAUGGGGUCACUUUCAAGGAUUCUACAGCUUGUUUUCUCUGCAUUAUUUAUUUAUUUUUGUUUGCACUGUUUUGUCUUCUUUUGCACAUCGGUUGUUUGUAAGUCUUUGUGUGUAGUGUUUUGUCGAUUCUAUUGUACUUCUCCUUCAACUGUGAGUGCCUGUUAAGAAAAUGAAUCUCAAGGUAGUGCAUGGUACUUUGAUAAUAAAUUUACUUUGAACUUUGAAAUGGGAAUCCUCAGACCUGUACAGUAUUGACAUAGAAUUUUUAAUGUCUUUUGGGACAGCCAGCUGGUGUUUCAAAGUAUUGACCCAGACUUUGCAGUCAGCAGGAAAGGAACAAUGCUUUUCAUGCCUUUGGUAAUUAGAUAUCCAUUUAAUCUUUUAGACAGUCUGGGGCUUGAGCAGGCAAAAUAGGAGUUGGCCUAUUCAAGCAAUCAUUGAGCAUAAAUACCUGGAAGCAAGUUGAAGAUUCAAUGGAAAAUUGUGUGUGCAAGUCAAAAGAGCAGGGAAUAACAUUGUAAGUGUGUGAUAAAAAAAUGAAAAGAUUGCUUAACAGAAAAUAUAAACAAAACUAUGGAGAAAAUCAAAGUUACUAAAAGUUGUUAAAAAAAUCUAAGCUUUGAUAGUCUUUAUUUGAAUGUUCAUAAUACUUGCAAUACUGUGACGUGCUGUCAGCAUAGAUGCAAAUUGUUGAGGGUGAUCUAAUAAUAAUUAUACCAAUAUGGUUGCAGAGUGACAAGGAUUGGAUGCUUAGUCUUCUAGGUUUCUUGAUAUUCCGAGAACAUGCCAAUAGAGAGGUCGGGAAUGGGAUGAGUGAGCGGUAACCUUAUAUUAGUCAAGGAAGCUAUUAUAAAAACGUUGAGUGCUGAUUACAGGGGCAGUGGAUAGGAACGCAGAAUCAGUCUAGGUUGACACCACACACGACUGGGGAGAGAUGACAUGGGUUAGAGUAUAUGCCCCCAAAAUGUGACCUUGAAAGGGGUAAUAUCUAAGGUGUGUUUCAAGGGAAUUGAAAUUGUCUCAGGAGUCUUUAAUCUGAAAAGCAUAUUGAUUGUCGAACCAAACUGGUAGGUGUAGAAAGGAGUUAAGUGUUGGACCUCUGAAACCAGUGGGUUAAUAAAAGAAAACAAAACAACGCUGGAAUAACAGACGGGCUAAUUUCAAAUAACAGGGAGGAAAUUGUAGAAAUUCCAAACACGAGGGACAAAGUAUUAGAAAGACUCUCAGGGGCAAGAGCGUUUCAACACUGGACAAAUCGCUGGACCCAAUGGCCCGCACCCAAGGUUUUUUUCCCAAAAGGAAGUGGCUGCAGAGAUAUCACAUCAAUUGGUUGAAGAUUUUUUUUUAAAAAACUUGUU
This is a long non-coding RNA of Mobula hypostoma (lesser devil ray), 2341 nucleotides long. RefSeq lists it as uncharacterized. The record is from RefSeq and is a predicted model, not a curated record. The transcript has 3 exons. NCBI's taxonomy places the organism in Eukaryota, Metazoa, Chordata, Chondrichthyes, Myliobatiformes, Myliobatidae.